This 752-nucleotide ribosomal RNA is filed under the name uncultured bacterium. Its description in RNAcentral is "bacterial SSU rRNA". It matches the Rfam family "Bacterial small subunit ribosomal RNA", at positions 71 to 818 of the family's 1533-position model. The record is from RNAcentral.
AGCACGGGAGCAAUCCUGGUGGCGAGUGGCGAACGGGUGAGUAAUGUAUCGGAACGUACCUUUCAGUGGGGGAUAACGUAGCGAAAGUUACGCUAAUACCGCAUAUUCUGUGAGCAGGAAAGCAGGGGAUCGCAAGACCUUGCGCUGAUUGAGCGGCCGAUAUCUGAUUAGCUAGUUGGCGGGGUAAAAGCCCACCAAGGCAACGAUCAGUAGCUGGUCUGAGAGGACGACCAGCCACACUGGAACUGAGACACGGUCCAGACUCCUACGGGAGGCAGCAGUGGGGAAUUUUGGACAAUGGGCGCAAGCCUGAUCCAGCAAUGCCGCGUGAGUGAAGAAGGCCUUCGGGUUGUAAAGCUCUUUUGUCAGGGAAGAAACGGCAGGUUCUAAUACACAUUGCUAAUGACGGUACCUGAAGAAUAAGCACCGGCUAACUACGUGCCAGCAGCCGCGGUAAUACGUAGGGUGCAAGCGUUAAUCGGAAUUACUGGGCGUAAAGCGUGCGCAGGCGGUUUUGUAAGUUUGCCGUGAAAUCCCCGGGCUCAACCUGGGAAUGGCGAUGAUGACUGCAAGGCUAGAAUCUGGCAGAGGGGGGUAGAAUUCCACGUGUAGCAGUGAAAUGCGUAGAGAUGUGGAGGAACACCGAUGGCGAAGGCAGCCCCCUGGGUCAAGAUUGACGCUCAUGCACGAAAGCGUGGGGAGCAAACAGGAUUAGAUACCCUGGUAGUCCACGCCCUAAACGAUGUCUACUA